Molecule: long non-coding RNA, 1523 nt
Organism: Bos taurus (domestic cattle)
Lineage: Eukaryota; Metazoa; Chordata; Mammalia; Artiodactyla; Bovidae
Source: Ensembl
CCAUGGACAGUAGCCCGCCCGGCUCCUCCGUCCAUGGGAUUCUCCAGGCAAGAAUACUGGAGUGGGUUGCCAUUUCCUUCUCCAGGGGACCUUCCCAACCCAAGGAUCAAACCUGGGUCUCCUGCAUUGUAGGCGGAUUCUUUUCCAUCUGAGCAAAACAUCUUGGUGUCAAAUCUUUUUUUUUUUUUCCCUCUGAGUCUUUCCUAAUGAACCUAUUUGCAUGGCAGCAAACGGUGAGGAGAUACCCCUGGUCCAAGCGUCCUCCUGUUGAUGACUGUCAGCGACUGCUCUGGCAGGAGGAGAUGAACGUGUGUCCUUCUACUCCGCCAUCUUGAACUGGAAACUGCGAUCCCCCUUAGCUGGUCUUAGCCUCAGCCGUUUUCCUGUCUUUUUCCAUCCAAGGCCCUGCAGGACCUGUGAACAGUGAUGAGUAGAUUUCAGGAGAUGUAUCCUGGCAGAACAGGUACAAGCGAGGGAGAGUCCCGCUCACUGAGCGUGCUCAUUUGCUUCGGUGGUGUCUGACUCUUUGCAACCUUAUGGACUGUAGCCCACCAGGCUCCUCUGUCCAUGGGAUUCUCCAGCCAAGAAUACUGAACUGGGUUGCCAUGCCCUCCUCCAGGGGGUCUUCUGGACCCAGGGAUCAAACCCAAGUCUCUUAUGUCUGCUGCACUGGCAGGCGUGUUCUUUACCACUAGUGCCGCCUGGGAAGUGGUUAUAAGUUUCCAACAAGGGCCCCUCUCCUAUGUCUGGUACCUUAACCAGGAAUGUGUCCCUCAGGCUUGGGACUUCAUCAACUGAACUGAGGCUCUCCGCUCCACUGAGCGCGACCUCUGUCUAGCAGCAAGCAGAUGUGGCUGAAGGGCUGGUGAACCGACGAUGGCACACAGGGCCAGGUCUGAGGGCCUCUUGGGUCUUCAGUCUCGAGUCGGGCGAGCAAUGAGCACAGCAAGCUUCUGCGGAGAAGCAGGGUGUGUGUAGGCCAGGUGGAAUUCGCUGACGGCGGGGGGAAAGUCCGUGUGCAGGGUGGGGUUAGCGUAAUGUACGCCCUGAGGAUUUAGAACUUUCUUCCUUUCGAGGGGUGUGGCGUGGAACGUUUGAGGUCCACCUCUCGGAAAAGGACCCAAUGGACAACCCGCAGCCUGCUUUGUUUAUGUGCCCAGGAGCGGACGCUGCGUUGGAUGGGACGGGGGCCCCUUGAAAUGGGCAUCUUGUUCUCUAAAUUACGAAUAUCUACUUGGAGACUGGAUUGCCUCACUGUGUUGCUAAGAUCGUGGCCUCUGGAAGCUCUCUGGUUCCGGGAGAGGGGCAGGGGGCAACCUCAACCUCUGAAAGAAAACCCGGUCCUGCCAUGGCUAGUAUGGAAGCCGCUAGCCAACAUGGCUGUUGAGCCCUUGAAAGACGGCUGGUCCAAACUGAAAUAUAAGAGAAAGAUACACUUCAGAUGUAGAAGACUUCCUGUGGGAAAAAAGAAUAGAACAUAGCUUAUUACUAAUUUUAAAACAUUGAUUACAUGUUGAAGUGAC